Molecule: ribosomal RNA, 254 nt
Filed under: uncultured bacterium
Lineage: Bacteria
Description: partial 16S ribosomal RNA
Rfam family: Bacterial small subunit ribosomal RNA
Source: RNAcentral
CACGUAGGGGGCGAGCGUUGUCCGGAUUUAUUGGGCGUAAAGGGCUCGUAGGCGGCUCAGUAAGUCGGGUGUGAAACCUCCAGGCUCAACCUGGAGACGCCACUCGAUACUGCUGUGGGUAGAGUCCGGUAGGGGAGCAUGGAAUUCCUGGUGUAGCGGUGAAAUGCGCAGAUAUCAGGAGGAACACCAGUGGCGAAGGCGGUGCUCUGGGCCGGAACUGACGCUGAUGAGCGAAAGCGUGGGGAGCAAACAGG